AAAUUGAAGAGUUUGAUCAUGGCUCAGAUUGAACGCUGGCGGCAGGCCUAACACAUGCAAGUCGAGCGGAAACGAGUUAUCUGAACCUUCGGGGAACGAUAACGGCGUCGAGCGGCGGACGGGUGAGUAAUGCCUAGGAAAUUGCCCUGAUGUGGGGGAUAACCAUUGGAAACGAUGGCUAAUACCGCAU
This 190-nucleotide ribosomal RNA is filed under the name Vibrio alginolyticus. RNAcentral describes it as "partial 16S ribosomal RNA". It matches the Rfam family "Bacterial small subunit ribosomal RNA", at positions 1 to 174 of the family's 1533-position model. The record is from RNAcentral. RNAcentral also lists the same sequence under 4 other names. Lineage: Bacteria; Pseudomonadati; Pseudomonadota; Gammaproteobacteria; Vibrionales; Vibrionaceae.